Ricinus communis (castor bean) is the source of this 591-nucleotide long non-coding RNA. RefSeq lists it as uncharacterized. The record is from RefSeq and is a predicted model, not a curated record. The transcript has 4 exons. NCBI's taxonomy places the organism in Eukaryota, Viridiplantae, Streptophyta, Magnoliopsida, Malpighiales, Euphorbiaceae.
AGUGGAUGCGUAUUGGGAGAAUCUCCGAGGCUUCUCGGCUCUUCCAUAGAUCUACUGGUUGUCAACCACUCUCUCUCUCUUUCUCUGUCUUUUCUGUUCCUUCCCUCUCUGUCAGCUAAACCCAUAUUCUUUCAAUUUGCCUCUCGAAGCACUCAACGGAAAUUCAUUCUGCAUAUCCGCAAUCGAUAAUGACUCAUAUCCUUUGCUGAUGAUCACGAACGCGGUAACCAGAGAGAGCGAGACCGUGAAAGAGCACAAGCUAGGGCUGGCCAGAAGCCCAAGAAUCCCAAAGACGACGGUUUGACCCCUGAGCAACGCCGUGAACGGGACGCAAAGGCCUUACAGGAGAAGCUGGCGAGGAAGGCUGCCCAGGAAGGAGGUAAAAACAAUAGUCAUAAGAAGUAAUAGGUGGGGUGAUGAUAAGAGAGAUGGGGAUUGUUUGUAUUGGAUUUGGAUCUGGUGUUUGUGGGGAGUCAAAGUCAUGUUUGUGUCAUUUUGAGAUUCGACAAACAAUAAGGUGUUUUGCUUAAAGGGAAAGGGCAUUGAUGUUGGCUUCUGAACAUUGGAUUUAUGUCUCUUACUGAUUUGGAA